UCCCUCCCUCCCUCCCCUCGCACCCCUCUCCGCCGCCGCUCCCCUCCCCCUGGCUCUGACUCAGUCCCACUCGCUCCUGCCUCGCCGCCUGGCAGCGCUGCUGCCGUGCGCCCGGGCGGGGCGGGGCGGGCAAGGAGCCGCCGAGGCUGAGGAAUUCCAACUCGUGACUAACAAGCUUGGACUGCGUGCAGAUCCGCCUUGAAGAAGGGGUGGGGGGGUUGGGGAGUGGAAAUAAAAACCCAAUUUCGCACUGGCUCUGGCAGGCGGGAGGCCAAGGGCUGAAUGGUGUGAGGGGGCUGGAGGGGGCUGCUCUGCAAAAGCAGGGCAAGCCCAGAUCUCCCUUUGCCCCUUCCUCAGGGCCAAGUGCACCUCCACCCUUAGUGGCACAAGUCAAGGGGACAUGUGAUAGAGGUAGCCGUGGAGGAAGCCUUCGCAGCACGCCUGCAAAAGCCUUCUUCCUCUGAGCGCAGACUCUGCCGAGUUGCAGCUCUCAACGGAAAAAACAAUCUUCCCUCCUACGGUUGGUGUGUUUAUCCCCGUGCGCACACACGUGAUGGAUAGACAGUUGGCACCUUCCUCCCCCCCACCCCUCUUUCUUUCCCCCAUUGAAAUCAGAAGGAACCCCAGUGGGAGGAGAGAGGAGCACAAUCAACAAGGUGACAACAUGGAGCACUGUCAAGAUUGCUUUUAUCCUAACAGUCAAUCAAUGAAUUUAUGUAGAUUUGCCAUCCCAAACAGAGGGUACAAAUCUUUCUUUGCGCAACAACUCUGUAAUUCUACCUUUGUCAAAUGAAGACAAUAAACCAGAAAGAUUAAUGUACAUUUUCUGCUUAGUAAUAAAUUCAAUUGUCAAAUGCAGAGAACUUUUUUAUUCAAAGACCUGGAUCAAUGGUUGACUUUGUUUUGAAGCAUUUAUUUAAGAAGGUGUUUAAAAAGAAUGGAGUUCAUGCUCUUAAUAUCCUUAGAAAUCUUUCAAAGGCAAUCACUCUAUUUGUCAAUCGAGCGGUCACUGCUAUGUAACAAUAAGAAGUGUGAAAGUUGGAUGUGGGAAUCCCUUUGGGUUUGUGUAGUUUGCUUUCUCAAUAGGAACAGAACAGUAGGAAAUUAGAAAGUGAGACACACUUAGAAAUCCUAUUUGAGUCUUUUAAACUGCUUCCUUUAAACAAGGUAGAAUUUCAUCUUUCAUCUUAACACCAUUAAGCUUCAAGGUCAAUUAGAUGAACAUGAUAAAUGUGAUCUGUGUCGGAAGGAAUGCCUCUUACUUUUUCUAAUAUAUUAAGCAGCUAAUGUUUAAAUAGUUAACCACUCAUUUUAUCUGGUUGUCAUUUUAAUCUCUUACUUUUUAGCCUUAAGUGAGUAUUUAAGCAUAUUUAUUAGCAAAAACGCAAAGAUUCUGUUGAGAUAAGCACUUAACUUUUCAAAGUAUGAGCAGUUAACAAGAGAUAACACUGUACUGAUUAUGAACCUCAUUCGAAGCCUACUGAAGUCCAUAAAAAAAAACUCACAUUGAGUUCAGUGAGUUUUGGAUCAAACUCACACAAGGAUUUUAUUUGACAAGGGAUAUGGUACAGUGGUUAUCUCAAAGCAAAACUACUGUUGGUUAAACUGGCACCUGUUUCAUUUUUAUAAACAACUAUAAAGGAAAAAAAAAGAGAUGCAACUAAAUGUUGCAGAUUUAUGUACUCUAAACUCCAUACUGCAAACUUUAGGACUCCUCACAUCUCCUAAAAAAUGUGAUGUAUUACUCCAUUUCCAUUCAAACCAAGUAUGGGAACUGUUUUAACUGUGGGUUAGAUACUCAUUGCUUAAUGAUGCAAUACUUAAUUCAGUGGUCUAUUAACCUGAGUUGAGCAAGCAGAUUUUCUUCCAGAGUGUUUAGGAGUUAGGGUUAAAGAACAUGGAAACAAUGAAAGAGUUAAUAGCUACAGUAAAGGUAACAGAUAGAAAGGGCAAAGAACUCAAACUUAAAAGAUAUGAGAAUAAAUGUAACUGAAAGUGACAAGGAGAAAGAAAGCCUAAAUUAGAAUAUUUCUGAGACUGCUGAGUCAGGCUUUACUGUGUUGCUUGCAGUUGGCCUGUUUCACUGUAUCAUUUUGAUCACCAUGCUCUUCUUUCCUGUAAAGUAAGUGCAUAAUAAUAAUCAUAAUAAUAAUGCAACAAGUAACAUGCAUAUAGCUUGACUGUGAAGGAACUCGCCUCCAAAGAUUAGGAAAUGUCAACAGUUAAAGUUUCUCCAAAAAUACUAAUUUGACCAUGUUAUACAUCAUUAAAAAAAAAAAAAAAGAAAGAAAAAGUCUUAUUAGAUGUAAAAGCACAACAAAACCAACCUGAUGUUUAGGAACUAUUAACAAGACUACCAAGUGUAGUUCAGUCCCUCCAAUCAUUUAUAAAAAAAGGAAGGAAAAACAGGUUUGGAGGAUGCUCUGGGUAUUAUAUUUGCCUCUUGAGUUUCAUUAACUUUUUUUGUUGUUUGAUAUGUAACCUUUUCCUUUUUUGUUUAAAGUAUAUUUUUCUAUUCCUUGUUGAUGUGUUAAAGAUGUCAAGUUGCAGGGAAAACCAUUCACCCGGUACGAGAAAGAGUAAAACUACUGUGCCUGGGGUUAAAUGCCAAAAAAAUAGGGAGAAAAAAUACUCUCUCUAAUCUUUUAAUUAUACCCAUUUAAGGUAUUUGCAAGAAUAGUAAAUUCAUUCCGUGAAUAUCAAACUUAAGGUUGAAUAUGUGACCCUAAUUCUGACCUUUGGUGCAUAUACAUGUAGUCUUAUGACAUGUACUCAUUCUCCUUAAGCUAUAAUAAAAUAAUUGCUUGUCAUAUUAAAACUUCAAGUGUUGCCCCAGCAAUUAGAUAUGGGCAUAUGUAUAGUCUCCUUGACUGUAUAUUUCCCAUACACAUCCGACUGUGGGACUAGGGACUUGGAUGCACACAUUGCACCUUAUAAUAUGUUUCUUUGUUGCCUAUUUAUUCUAGUUCCAUUAUCAUAAUAAUGUAAUCUGGCCUUUGCUGAUGCCUUAUAAAGUUUGCUUCCUUCUAA
Molecule: long non-coding RNA, 3030 nt
Organism: Alligator mississippiensis (American alligator)
Lineage: Eukaryota; Metazoa; Chordata; Crocodylia; Alligatoridae
Exons: 3
Source: RefSeq, a predicted model, not a curated record